RNAcentral lists this ribosomal RNA (555 nucleotides) under uncultured bacterium. Its description in RNAcentral is "partial 16S ribosomal RNA". It matches the Rfam family "Bacterial small subunit ribosomal RNA", at positions 355 to 902 of the family's 1533-position model. The record is from RNAcentral.
UGGGGAAUUUUGGACAAUGGGGGCAACCCUGAUCCAGCAAUGCCGCGUGUGUGAAGAAGGCCUUCGGGUUGUAAAGCACUUUUGUCCGGAAAGAAAACGCCGUGGUUAAUACCCGUGGCGGAUGACGGUACCGGAAGAAUAAGCACCGGCUAACUACGUGCCAGCAGCCGCGGUAAUACGUAGGGUGCAAGCGUUAAUCGGAAUUACUGGGCGUAAAGCGUGCGCAGGCGGUCCGCUAAGACAGAUGUGAAAUCCCCGGGCUUAACCUGGGAACUGCAUUUGUGACUGGCGGGCUAGAGUAUGGCAGAGGGGGGUAGAAUUCCACGUGUAGCAGUGAAAUGCGUAGAGAUGUGGAGGAAUACCGAUGGCGAAGGCAGCCCCUGGGCCAAUACUGACGCUCAUGCACGAAAGCGUGGGGGAGCAAACAGGAUUAGAUACCCUGGUAGUCCACGCCCUAAACGAUGUCAACUAGUUGUCGGGUCUUCAUUGACUUGGUAACGUAGCUAACGCGUGAAGUUGACCGCCUGGGGAGUACGGUCGCAAGAUUAAAAACUC